GAUCCAACAUUUCAGGUAUCCGAAACUUUCUACGGAUUCGGAUCACAUUUUCCCGAUCUUUUUAUCCGAAAUUGAACACCCCACCGGAAACGUAUACUAAAUGUAGCCGUUUAAUUUGGUUGGGAAAGAAAAGAAAAAAUACCACCAAUUAAUAUAUAAUCAUUCCACUAAUUUCUCUCGAAAAAAAAAAAAAAAAGUUCCACCAAGCAAGAAUUAGGAACGAAAUCGUAGAGGAAGAUCCACAAGUAUGACCAGCGUUGUUCCCAAAGUUGCCGUCAUUGGCAGUGGAAUUUCAGGAGCAGUAUGUGCUUCAAUUCUGGCCAAAAAUGGAGUUGCAGUUACUGUUUUUGAUUGGGGUAGAGGUCCUGGAGGCCGCAUGUCUCAAAGAAGGGAAACUACUAAGGAAGGGACAGACCUAUUCUUUGACCAUGGUGCUCCGUACUUCACAGUUUCAAACACUGGUGUUUUGGAUGUUGUUUUGGAGUGGGAGUCAAGAGGUCUAGUUGCAGAGUGGAAAGAGAAAUUUGGAAUCUAUGAUUGCAUCUCCAAGGCCUUUGUUGAUUAUGAGGAGGAAUCAUCGAGCAGGAAGUAUGUAGGCAUUCCAGGCAUGAAUUCUAUAUGCAGAGCAUUAUGCAAUGAGCCCGGAGUUGAAAGCAAAUUUGGGAUUGGUGUUGCAAAGAUGGAUUGGGCAAUAGAUCAGAAGUCAUGGUCAUUGAUCAGUUUGGAUGGAAUGUUUCUUGGUGCUUUUGGUGGUUUGAUAGCGACAGACAAGAUUCUUGCUGCUCCUGGCUUUGCCCACUUAACAGGACACCCUCCACCUCUUGAUAUAAAUUUGGCACCACAAUUUGCAUCAAGGGUAGAACAAGUACCUUUCAGACCUUAUUUUGUUCUCAUGCUUGCUUUCAGUGAGCCUCUACGCACUAUUUCUGUAAGAGGGUUCUCAUUCAAAAACUCUCAAGUGUUGAGCUCUGCUUUUUGUGACAGCAGUAAGCCAGGUCGUUCUUCAGCCAGUGAAUGUUGGGUGUUGCAUUCCACUGAGGAAUACGCUAAAAAAGUGAUAGCUGAAACUGGACUUAAAAAGGCUUCUGAUACAACAUUUGCAAGAGUCUCUGAAGAACUUCUGCAGGAAUUUCAAAGAACCGGACUUUGCACUUCCCAGCCUUGUUUCAUGAAAGCUCAUCGGUGAUAUUGGAAUCAGAUAUUGGAAUCAGACAUAUGAAGUGUUGCUGUUGUAGGCCUUACAUGAGCAAACAUGCACUUUACCGGCCUUACUCAUCAUCAUCAUCGUCAUUACCCCAUUGCCUCAAAGAGGCUCCCGCAAGAAGCGGGGUAAGGGGUUGCAAAGAGGUUGUUUCCAAUUGACCCAAAAGCAAUAACGGGACAACAACGGGACGGCCAUCUUCUACUUCAUGGAAAGGAAGCGAAGAGGGGCAGUGCCUUUCCAACAGCAAGCAUAGCUAGAGAAGACAAGUGCUUGUGGGAUACAAACAAGCCAUUAGUUGUUUGUGGAGACUUCUGUGUCAGUCCAACCGUUGAAGGUGCAAUUCAGAGUGGCUUGGCUGCAGCUUCUAAGUUAUUGGAAAUGCACUUAGUUUCAACUACUCAAACUACUACAAUGUCUAUGAUUUAGCUAUGUUUUCCAACUUUUAUUUC
RNA transcript from Spinacia oleracea (spinach), 1653 nucleotides. RefSeq lists it as uncharacterized. The record is from RefSeq and is a predicted model, not a curated record. The transcript has 10 exons. Lineage: Eukaryota; Viridiplantae; Streptophyta; Magnoliopsida; Caryophyllales; Amaranthaceae.